Molecule: ribosomal RNA, 483 nt
Filed under: uncultured bacterium
Lineage: Bacteria
Description: bacterial SSU rRNA
Rfam family: Bacterial small subunit ribosomal RNA
Source: RNAcentral
GAACGCUAGCGGCAGGCUUAAUACAUGCAAGUCGUGGGGCAGCAUGAGUAGCAAUACUUGAUGGCGACCGGCAAACGGGUGAGGAACACGUACACAACCUUCCUUCAAGCGGGGAAUAGCCCAGAGAAAUUUGGAUUAAUACCCCAUAAUAUAUUUGAUAAGGCAUCCUUAUUGAUAUUAAAAGCUUCGGCACUUGAUGAUGGGUGUGCGGCUGAUUAGAUAGUUGGCGGGGUAACGGCCCACCAAGUCUACGAUCAGUAGCUGAUGUGAGAGCAUGAUCAGCCACACGGGCACUGAGACACGGGCCCGACUCCUACGGGAGGCAGCAGUAAGGAAUAUUGGACAAUGGACGAAAGCCUGAUCCAGCCAUGCCGCGUGAAGGAUUAAGGUCCUCUGGAUUGUAAACUUCUUUUAUAUGGGACGAAAAAGGGCAUUCUUGUUCACUUGACGGUACCAUAUGAAUAAGCACCGGCUAACUCCGUG